GCGGGUGUGGUGAAAUUGGUAGACACGCUGGAUUUAGGUUUCAGUGGCUCAAAGCCUUGGGGGUUCAAAUCCCUCCACCCGCACCG
This 86-nucleotide transfer RNA is filed under the name Candidatus Endolissoclinum faulkneri L5. RNAcentral describes it as "tRNA-Leu". It matches the Rfam family "tRNA". From Rfam's summary of the family: Transfer RNA (tRNA) molecules are approximately 80 nucleotides in length. Their secondary structure includes four short double-helical elements and three loops (D, anti-codon, and T loops). Further hydrogen bonds mediate the characteristic L-shaped molecular structure. tRNAs have two regions of fundamental functional importance: the anti-codon, which is responsible for specific mRNA codon recognition, and the 3' end, to which the tRNAs corresponding amino acid is attached (by aminoacyl-tRNA synthetases). tRNAs cope with the degeneracy of the genetic code in two manners: having more than one tRNA (with a specific anti-codon) for a particular amino acid; and 'wobble' base-pairing, i.e. permitting non-standard base-pairing at the 3rd anti-codon position. Lineage: Bacteria; Pseudomonadati; Pseudomonadota; Alphaproteobacteria; Rhodospirillales; Rhodospirillaceae. The record is from RNAcentral.